RNAcentral lists this ribosomal RNA (498 nucleotides) under uncultured bacterium. Its description in RNAcentral is "partial 16S ribosomal RNA". It matches the Rfam family "Bacterial small subunit ribosomal RNA", at positions 28 to 507 of the family's 1533-position model. The record is from RNAcentral.
GACGAACGCUGGCGGCGUGCCUAAUACAUGCAAGUCGAACGAGAGCGCCCGGUGCUUGCCCUGGUCAAUCUAGUGGCGAACGGGUGAGUAACACGUGGGUAACCUGCCCAUCAGAGGGGGAUAACAUUCGGAAACGGAUGCUAAAACCGCAUAGGUCUUCGAACCGCAUGGUUUGAAGAGGAAAAGAGGCGCAAGCUUCUGCUGAUGGAUGGACCCGCGGUGCAUUAGCUAGUUGGUGAGGUAACGGCUCACCAAGGCCGUGAUGCAUAGCCGACCUGAGAGGGUGAUCGGCCACAUUGGGACUGAGACACGGCCCAAACUCCUACGGGAGGCAGCAGUAGGGAAUCUUCCGCAAAGGACGCAAGUCUGACGGAGCAACGCCGCGUGAGUGAAGAAGGUUUUCGGAUCGUAAAACUCUGUUGUUAGAGAAGAAUAAGUGCUAGAGUAACUGUUAGCGCCUUGACGGUAGCUAACCAGAAAGCCACGGCUAACUACGUG